Molecule: ribosomal RNA, 478 nt
Filed under: Ochlerotatus hexodontus
Lineage: Eukaryota; Metazoa; Arthropoda; Insecta; Diptera; Culicidae
Description: eukaryotic LSU rRNA
Rfam family: Eukaryotic large subunit ribosomal RNA
Source: RNAcentral
CUUGAUAGUGCAGCACAAAGUGGGAGGUAAACUCCUUCUAAAGCUAAAUAUCACCACGAGACCGAUAGCGAACAAGUACCGUGAGGGAAAGUUGAAAAGCACUCUGAAUAGAGAGUCAAAAAGUACGUGAAACUGCCUAGGGCUCAAGCCCGUUGAACUCGAUUAUCCGAGCGGAGACAUUCACCUGCGGUUGGUCGGUUCCGCCGGCAGGCCGCAGGGCACUUGUCUCCCGCGUCAAGAGGACAUUGCGAUCCAUUACGAAACAGCUUUCGCGUCGCAAGACGCAAGGUCGCCCGACAGUUGCCCCUUGGUGCUGGUUGCUUGCCCCACAGUAGCGACGCUCAGUUCUGAAGGCCUGUGCCGCGAGGUGGGGCUUACUGCACGUGGUGUUUGCAGUCGGGCGCGUGAUGGAUUUCCGCGUACACCGUCGGUCUUCCCGCAAUGGACCGGCGGACUGUCGAUCGGCAAUGAUAAAAUC